Molecule: unclassified non-coding RNA, 253 nt
Filed under: uncultured Verrucomicrobiota bacterium
Lineage: Bacteria; Pseudomonadati; Verrucomicrobiota
Description: uncultured Verrucomicrobia bacterium contains 16S-23S intergenic spacer region
Rfam family: Bacterial small subunit ribosomal RNA
Source: RNAcentral
UACAGAGGUCCCAAGCGUUGUUCGGAUUCACUGGGCGUAAAGGGUGCGUAGGUGGCGAGGAAAGUUCGAUGUGAGAUCUCCGGGCUCAACCCGGAAAUGGCACUGAAAACUAUCUCGCUAGAGGGUCGGAAGGGAGACUGGAAUUCUCGGUGUAGCAGUGAAAUGCGUAGAUAUCGAGAGGAACACCAGUGGCGAAGGCGGGUCUCUGGACGACACCUGACACUGAGGCUCGAAAGCGUGGGGAGCAAACAGG